Misgurnus anguillicaudatus (oriental weatherfish) is the source of this 421-nucleotide long non-coding RNA. RefSeq lists it as uncharacterized. NCBI's taxonomy places the organism in Eukaryota, Metazoa, Chordata, Actinopteri, Cypriniformes, Cobitidae. The record is from RefSeq and is a predicted model, not a curated record.
GCGAUUGCGACCUGUACAAAUUAAUUGAGACAAAAAAGAAAGUGUUAAAGCACAAACAGUGAAGUACCGCCACCGGUCGACAGGGGCAGCACUUAAAAAAGACGGAAGAAUUGUAAACCGGAAGAUAACGUGUCCUCCCAGAGAGCACUCGGCGUCACACAUUUCAGUGUUUGAAGAGAGGAUCAAGAUACAGAUUUAAGACAAAAGUCAUCAAUUACGAUCGUUUAAAUAGCUUGCCCAGAGCACAGCAUCUCGUGCACAGCAUGAAGUUUUCAGCUAUCAAGAUUUCUAGAGGCUCCAGAAUGAAAACCAAGCCCUGCACUGCAAAAAAUGAAAGUCUUGCUUGGUUUUCUUUUGUCUUGUUUUCUAAUAUUAGUAUCUGAAAAUUCUUAAAUUGAGACACUGACUUUGUAAGCAAGUG